UUGGCAAAACAGAGAGUAAUUUAUACACGGGGGAAUAACCGCUUGGCUUCAAGUUACCAUCACCAGGAUGCAGCAGCCCUCCAAUUCAAGAAAAGCAUGACAUUUUCAUUCCAGAAUUGGAACGAAGGUCGCAAGGCCUUUUGGGGAUUCAAUUGCGUGAAAAUCCACCUACACACCUUCUCACCCCUCAACCAAUUUUACUUUACGGUUAUGGAGUUUACACUUCUAGAUUGCACCUUCAAGGGGAUUGAUAAUUACACCCCUUAUCCGGCUAAUUAUAUCCCUUCAAAAAUCGCUAAUUUUA
Molecule: small RNA, 304 nt
Filed under: Histoplasma ohiense
Lineage: Eukaryota; Fungi; Ascomycota; Eurotiomycetes; Onygenales; Ajellomycetaceae
Description: hypothetical lncRNA
Source: RNAcentral